This 722-nucleotide long non-coding RNA is filed under the name Pogona vitticeps (central bearded dragon). RNAcentral describes it as "lncRNA (ENSPVIG00000007506.1)". Lineage: Eukaryota; Metazoa; Chordata; Lepidosauria; Squamata; Agamidae. The record is from RNAcentral.
AAAAACAACUAUAUCCAGGGUUUAUUUGACAGAUAAGCAUGAAAAACAUGCUCUUUAUAUAUCAGGAACUAAAACACCUUCUGUCUGUUUGUUAGGUAUAACUGGAAAGUUGCGUUUACAUCCCUAUGAUGGGAGGCGGACUGAGAAAUUCUUGCCUUGCAACAUUCUCAGUGAUUUUGUGCAGAUCUGCAGUUCUCCCAUUCAUGUAGUUCUUUCCAAGCUAGAAGAUAGAAGAAGAGUUACAAGAGGGUGUUUCGUUUCUUUCAAGAGUUUCCAGUGGAAUGGACUCCUCUCCUGGGCAGAAAAAGUGUGAUACAAAUUUCUUAAAUAACAGAAAAGGCAAGCUGCAAAAAAGUAAAAGGUGUUCAAUGAUUCACUCGUGGGCCACUACUGUACAUUGCUACUAAUGUUUUUCAUUGUUUAUGAAACAUGAGAAAGAUUUGCGAGAAUGAUAGAAUAAUAGCUGGAAGGGGCACAGUGGAUCAUUUCAUCUUUACAGUGUUUGUUGUUAUUGUUUUCAGGCUGUUAUUCCUAUUUUUAAAUAAGUUUACUGAUUAACAACUUGGUAUUCUGGGUGUUGAUGUAUUCUAAGAACAAAACAGUUCAAUCAAUACUAGAUCAGUGUUUCCCAAACUUUGGGCCUGAGAUGUUCUUGGACUACAACUCCCAGAAUUCCCGGCCAGCACAAUAAACUGCCUCAGACUCAAUUCUAUGUUGAAUAG